This 291-nucleotide long non-coding RNA is filed under the name Elaeis guineensis (African oil palm). Its description in RNAcentral is "long non-coding RNA (EGUI_LNC071999)". The record is from RNAcentral. Lineage: Eukaryota; Viridiplantae; Streptophyta; Magnoliopsida; Arecales; Arecaceae.
UCGUGGCCGUUACUGUGGCCUGUUAGGGGGAGCCCAGGCCUGUCGGCCGAAGAUCGGUUGAAGUGCCUGGCAGAAAGAGGUGCCUAUCCAUCUGGAAGGAGCUCGGACUUUGCUAGUGGGCCAUCCACCGUUGGGUGCCUUGAGCGUUAGUACUAUAGGUGAGGGCCAUCUGCAAUUGGAGUCGGAGGCGAAGUCCGGCUCCCGUAGGAGUCCGGACGAAGUCCACCUAUAGUCGGAGUCGGGGAUGAAGUCCGGCUCCCGUGGGAGUCCGAACGAAGUCCACUUGCAGUC